UGUGUUUUUGCAUUGCUCUCAAUGGAAGCGAUCGAUGCCCAUGUCACAGUCGUGUCCCAAUCGCAGCCAAGUCUCUGCCUCAAUCUAACCAACAACAGGCAGGGCUGCAAAGGCUGCUCACUACCUCUUCCAUCCAUCCACCACCAAACUAAAAAUAUAAUACUACAUAUGAUCCUUAACCACUCCACCACCGCUCCUAGGGAUCAAGCCACUGAAAAUCCAGGGGAACACAAUUAAAAAACAAACAAAACAACAACAGCCCUCUCUCUUUCUUCCUGUUUCUCUCCCUCUCUCCUUUUGCCAACUACAUGAUCCUUGAUUAAAAAUGGAACAGGGUUUAAAAAAAAAAACAGGAGAGCGAAAUGGAGAAGAGGAAAUGCAACUGUCAGAAAACGGGAUGGUCAGACUUCCUGGGUGAACCUGCUUGUGUCUGACAGUGUAGAUCCACCAUCUUCAGCAUGGCAAGUUGUCUUUUGGUUGGGCUUUUUUUUUUUUUUUUUUGGGGAGGGGGGUGUUCUGCUUGCGAUCUGUGCCUUGGUACCUAAGGAGGAAGAGGAGGAGGAGGAGGGUGUGUUACUGAAUGGGAGCUAAAGCCUCCUCGGGACGGCGCUGAGGUGAAACAGGCUGAACCCGACUGAUGUGCCUCCUCUCUCGGCUGGACCCAGUGCCCCAAGCAGCCGAUGAGAGACCCCCGGCCGCCCGCCUCGCAGGUAUCUUCUUUCCUAGGUAUCCAGGAUUGGCUUAUUAAUUGUGAAUUAUUCAGUAGAAGAUCCUUCUAAAAUAUCCAGUAAUUUAUUUACUGGAAUAUAGCAGGCUGUGUACUUGAAGGCCUCUUUUGCCUCUUUAAUCCCAUGAAGAAACAUUGCAACUCUUACUGCCAACUAAAUGCUUUGCACAGUACUCAACAAAACAGAAGCAGCUCUAGCAUUAGACAGAAACCAGUUGGCUGUCUACAACUGGGAGAUACCUUUCUUAACAGAAGUUACUCAUGAUUCUGCUCUUGGCUACUGGCAUUUCUAUUGUCCCAAAACAUCUACUUCCACAUCUUCUGCCGUGAAGCUUUGAAUAAACCAUACUCUUCAUCUUCACGUGACUUACGUGUCUAAAUGGCAUAACCUACCAGUGCAGAAGGUCAUAUAAUGCUACCUAUUAAACCAUCAAACACUUCACAUGCUUUGAAAAGAAAACAGACAUGGGUUUUGGAAAAAGAUCUUAUACUGCAUCAUCAUUGUGGUAUCCUACCAAAGGAAGGCAGAGAACAGCAUGGUCUUUCCACUGGGCACAAUAAAUGACUGCUUAAAGGGAUCGACAAAGACUUCAUGACCACUUUCUGAUCCACUUUAAAAUUAUUAUAAGCUGGCGGAGAAGUUUAUCUACUAAUCAUCUAGAAUUUGAGAGUCUCUUUUCCUAUUUAAAGAAAACUAUCAUGGUACUGUAUGGGAAACUAAUCAUCACAGUUUUUAUGGGACUUUAAGCACAGUUCAGAAUUUUUCAAUACUCUUUUUGGUACUAACUCAAGAAAGUGGUUGAGUAUGUGCUUAAUUGUACACAUGUGCUUAACUUUAAGUCCUUUCCUGAAUAGGGAUGUUUUUCUGAAUGUGGGCCUUGAAUAUGCAGCAACAGUUAGCACCUGUUCCCAGAAAUGUGUUGUCAUCAGCAAUAAUGUUGGUACAUGAAUAAAGACCUCUUGUGUACCAAGA
Chrysemys picta bellii (western painted turtle) is the source of this 1700-nucleotide long non-coding RNA. RefSeq lists it as uncharacterized. The record is from RefSeq and is a predicted model, not a curated record. Lineage: Eukaryota; Metazoa; Chordata; Testudines; Emydidae.